This 28-nucleotide non-coding RNA is filed under the name Bombyx mori (domestic silkworm). The record is from RNAcentral. Lineage: Eukaryota; Metazoa; Arthropoda; Insecta; Lepidoptera; Bombycidae.
UCAAGAUUUACAUGAAACCGGGCAUUGA